UGGGGAAUAUUGGACAAUGGGCGAAAGCCUGAUCCAGCAACGCCGCGUGAGGGAUGACGGCCUUCGGGUUGUAAACCUCUUUCAGCAGGGACGAAGCGAGAGUGACGGUACCUGCAGAAGAAGGACCGGCCAACUACGUGCCAGCAGCCGCGGUAAUACGUAGGGUCCGAGCGUUGUCCGGAAUUAUUGGGCGUAAAGGGCUCGUAGGCGGUUUGUCGCGUCGGGAGUGAAAACUCAGGGCUCAACCCUGAGCGUGCUUUCGAUACGGGCAGACUAGAGGGAUGCAGGGGAGAACGGAAUUCCUGGUGUAGCGGUGGAAUGCGCAGAUAUCAGGAGGAACACCGGUGGCGAAGGCGGUUCUCUGGGCAUUUCCUGACGCUGAGGAGCGAAAGCAUGGGGAGCGAACA
Molecule: ribosomal RNA, 407 nt
Filed under: uncultured Aeromicrobium sp.
Lineage: Bacteria; Bacillati; Actinomycetota; Actinomycetes; Propionibacteriales; Nocardioidaceae
Description: bacterial SSU rRNA
Rfam family: Bacterial small subunit ribosomal RNA
Source: RNAcentral